GCCGGGCAUGGUAGCUCAUGCCUGUAAUCCCAGCACUUUGGGAGGCUGAGGCGGGUGGAUCACCUGAGGUCAGGAGUUCAAGACCAGCCUGGCCAACAUGGUGAAACCCUGUCUCUA
Molecule: small RNA, 117 nt
Filed under: Macaca fascicularis (crab-eating macaque)
Lineage: Eukaryota; Metazoa; Chordata; Mammalia; Primates; Cercopithecidae
Also listed under: 1 other name
Description: Metazoan signal recognition particle RNA (ENSMFAG00000051878.1)
Source: Rfam by way of RNAcentral